This is a long non-coding RNA of Musca domestica (house fly), 348 nucleotides long. RefSeq lists it as uncharacterized. Lineage: Eukaryota; Metazoa; Arthropoda; Insecta; Diptera; Muscidae. The transcript is spliced from 2 exons. The record is from RefSeq and is a predicted model, not a curated record.
AAAAAAAACAGCUAUAGAAGCCAGAAAGAGCGAAAACAAUAACAGGUGGUGCUCUGCUGCCUGUCUACAAGCAUGAUGGAUUACCAUAUGGUGGUAAAGGCGACUGAAAAGAGGGAGAGGUGCAAUUUUCAUCAUUCAUCACAAAGUUAAAGUUAAAACAUAAACAAAACAAAACAAAACCCUAAACCCUCGGCGCGGCGUCAUUUAUUCAUUUUGGUUUGUGGUUGGUGAAAUUUUGUUUGGUUUUUUUUUUCGGCUUCCACGAAAUGAAACGUGAUUGUUGUCGUCGUCGUCGUCGUAAUCAUUCCAAAAUCAAAUAUUAAUAAAACAAAGUAAGUUGAGGGAAAA